RNAcentral lists this ribosomal RNA (253 nucleotides) under uncultured bacterium. RNAcentral's name for it is "partial 16S ribosomal RNA". It matches the Rfam family "Bacterial small subunit ribosomal RNA", at positions 524 to 776 of the family's 1533-position model. The record is from RNAcentral.
UACGGAGGGGGCUAGCGUUGUUCGGAAUGACUGGGCGUAAAGCGCGCGUAGGCGGGCAUCUAAGUCGGGGGUGAAAUCCCGGGGCUCAACCCCGGAAUGGCCUUCGAGACUGGGUGCCUUGAGUUCGAGAGAGGUGGGUGGAAUUCCGAGUGUAGAGGUGAAAUUCGUAGAUAUUCGGAGGAACACCAGUGGCGAAGGCGGCCCACUGGCUCGACACUGACGCUGAGGUGCGAAAGCGUGGGGAGCAAACAGG